Molecule: long non-coding RNA, 322 nt
Filed under: Salmo salar (Atlantic salmon)
Lineage: Eukaryota; Metazoa; Chordata; Actinopteri; Salmoniformes; Salmonidae
Description: lncRNA (ENSSSAG00000109352.1)
Source: RNAcentral
CGAGGGUGAGAGGUCCAUGUUUGUAAAGGUGUUUCAGUUUGUUGUGUGGUUGGAACGAGGGUGAGAGGUUCGUGUUUGUAAAGGUGUUUCAGUUUGUUGUGUGGUAGGAACAAGGGUGAGAGGUCCAUGUUUGUAAAUGUGUUUCAGUUUGUUGUGUGGUAGGAACGAGGGUGAGAGGUCUGUGUUUGUAAAGGUGUUUCAGUUUGUUGUUGUGUGGUUGGAACGAGGGUGAGAGGUCUGUGUUUGUAAAGGUGUUUCAGUUUGUUGUUGUGUGGUUGGAACGAGGGUGAGAGGUCUGUGUUUGUAAAGGUGUUUCAGUUUG